Molecule: ribosomal RNA, 441 nt
Filed under: uncultured bacterium
Lineage: Bacteria
Description: partial 16S ribosomal RNA
Rfam family: Bacterial small subunit ribosomal RNA
Source: RNAcentral
CCUACGGGUGGCAGCAGUGGGGGAUAUUGCCCAAUGGGGGGAACCCUGAUGCAGCGACGCCGCGUGGGUGAAGGAGUGCUUCGGCAUGUAAAGCCCUAUCGGCAGAGAAGAAGCAAGACGGUACCUAACUAAGAAGCCCCGGCUAACUACUUGCCAGCAGCCGCGGUAAUACGUAGGGGGCGAUCGUUAUCCGGAUUCACUGGGUGUAAAGGCAGCGUAGACGGCCAUGCAAGCACGGGGUGAAAGCCCUGGGCCGAACCCCGGGACUGCCCUUGGAACUGCAUGGCUGGAGUGCGGGAGGGGCAGGCGGAAUUCCUGGUGUAGGGGUGAAAUGCGUAGAGAUCAGGAGGAACACCGGCGGCGAAGGCGGCCUGCUGGACCGCGACUGACGUUGAGGCUCGAAAGCGUGGGGAGCGAACAGGAUUAGAUACCCCUGUAGUC